UCUUCGGAAUUAGAGACCGGCGCACGGGUGCGUAACGCGUAUGCAAUCUACCUUUCACAGAGGGAUAGCCCAGAGAAAUUUGGAUUAAUACCUCAUAGUAUAGUGAUACCGCAUGGUACUACUAUUAAAGUCACAACGGUGAAAGAUGAGCAUGCGUCCCAUUAGCUAGUUGGUAAGGUAACGGCUUACCAAGGCUACGAUGGGUAGGGGUCCUGAGAGGGAGAUCCCCCACACUGGUACUGAGACACGGACCAGACUCCUACGGGAGGCAGCAGUGAGGAAUAUUGGACAAUGGGCGCAAGCCUGAUCCAGCCAUGCCGCGUGCAGGAUGACGGUCCUAUGGAUUGUAAACUGCUUUUGUACGGGAAGAAACACUCCUUCGUGAAGGAGCUUGACGGUACCGUAAGAAUAAGGAUCGGCUAACUCCGUGCCAGCAGCCGCGGUAAUACGGAGGAUCCAAGCGUUAUCCGGAAUCAUUGGGUUUAAAGGGUCCGUAGGCGGUUUAGUAAGUCAGUGGUGAAAGCCCAUCGCUCAACGGUGGAACGGCCAUUGAUACUGCUAGACUUGAAUUAUUAGGAAGUAACUAGAAUAUGUAGUGUAGCGGUGAAAUGCUUAGAGAUUACAUGGAAUACCAAUUGCGAAGGCAGGUUACUACUAAUGGAUUGACGCUGAUGGACGAAAGCGUGGGUAGCGAAC
This 696-nucleotide ribosomal RNA is filed under the name uncultured Bacteroidota bacterium. RNAcentral's name for it is "bacterial SSU rRNA". It matches the Rfam family "Bacterial small subunit ribosomal RNA", at positions 77 to 773 of the family's 1533-position model. The record is from RNAcentral. Lineage: Bacteria; Pseudomonadati; Bacteroidota.